RNAcentral lists this unclassified non-coding RNA (320 nucleotides) under Hevea brasiliensis (rubber tree). The record is from RNAcentral. Lineage: Eukaryota; Viridiplantae; Streptophyta; Magnoliopsida; Malpighiales; Euphorbiaceae.
GCAGCCCUUUUCAAAUAUAGAAGCCAGCAAAGUACCCCUGAUUGUGGAUAGAUCUACUUCAAGUUCUGGCUUAGGCCAAUUAGAUCCCAAGACUGCUCAAGAUAUUUCUCGUGGAAGUCCAAAGUUUUCUGAUGUCGCUAUUGCACAUGAUGCUUCAAAAGGUAAUUCUGCUCGUAAAACAAGACGAGCCAGUAAGGCAACAGCGAAAGAAACUGCUAAAAAGGGAAAUCCUGUUAAAGUAACAUCUUCUGUGAGAUCAGAAAGAGGGGUCAAAACAACCAGUGUUUCCCUGAGCCCAUCUGGUGUUUCUCAACUUGUGC